CCGCCGCUCCUCUGCCUCCCGCCGCCCGUCCCCGCCCCGCUCCGUUCCCCGUCCCGCUCCGCGUGCGGCCGGGCGGCAGCAGCACGGGCGCCGCCCGCCCCCGCCUCCCUCUCCUCCCCGCGGCCGGGGCUCGGGAUAGGAGGAGUUGGAGGAAGAGGAAGAUGACGAGCGGGCGCGAUUAGCCCAACGAGGGACGGGUGGCGGCGGCUCCGCGCCGGGACUGACACCUCCGCUCUCUCUCCCGCUCCAGCCAUGAAGGCGGGCGCCGGGGAGCGCCGCUGAAGCCCGGCCCGGCCGCUGCCCCAUGGCCGCUGCGUGACGGGGGCCGAGCCCGCACCCCCGGCGGGGCCGCCCCGGGAUCGGCGUCGUCGUCGCGACCGCCGCGCUGGGUGUGUGCGAGCGGCUCCGGCGCUGCUUCCCCGCUCCUUUCCCCUCCUCGAUGCGGGCUCCAGAGGAUUUGCACCUCCUUCGUAACCGGGAAUGAAAUAAUGGCGACUCGGUGGGCAGCGGGGCCACCCGGCGGAGAUGGAGACACCGAGCCCCCCCCGGGCGGCGGCGGCCAGGCAUCAAAAAAUAAAGAUGGAAAAGAGCAAAGUGAAGCUAUAUCACCAUCAGAGGAAGAAGAAGCUUUCUCUUGGCCUGGUCCAAAAACUGUUGUGUUAAGGAGGACAUCUCAGGGUUUUGGCUUCACCUUAAGACACUUCAUAGUUUACCCUCCAGAAUCUGCAGUUCAAUUUUCUUUUAAAGAUGAAGAGAAUGGAAAUAGACAAGGAAAACAAAGAAAUAGACUGGAGCCUAUGGAUACCAUAUUUGUUAAACAAGUGAAAGAAGGUGGACCUGCUUUUGAAGCUGGACUGUGCACAGGUGACAGAAUUAUAAAAGUCAAUGGAGAAAGUGUUAUUGGAAAGACAUAUUCUCAAGUCAUUGCUUUAAUACAGAACAGUGACAGCAUGUUGGAACUCAGUGUUAUGCCAAAAGACGAGGACAUCCUUCAAUUGGCUUAUUCCCAAGAUGCCUACCUGAAAGGCAAUGAAGCUUACAGUGGUAAUGCCCACAACAUACCUGAACCACCACCAAUAUGUUAUCCACGCCUGACGUCUACCACUUCUGUUGUGGCACAAGCUGGUGACAAGCUAUCUUCUGAUUUCUCACUGGGGAAACAGCAAGUCAGCAGACCAGUACGGGCAUUGACACAGCCAGAGAGGGCUUACAGAAUGGAAAUACAAGUGCCUCCGUCACCAACAGACAUUGCAAAAUCAAAUACAGCGGUGUGUGUUUGCAAUGAAACUGUAAGGACUGUUAUUGUGCCUUCUGAGAAGGCUGUAGAUUUGCCAUCUUGCAGAAAUAAUCAUGCUGGUCCGUCACACAGGACAGAAGAAAUAAGAUAUGGCUUAAAAGAUCAAACCGCUCUAAAAGCACGAACCACAUCACCAUCUUCUUCAGUGUCCACUGCCAUUGUACUUCCACAGACACCAUUAACAAGGCCAGGUGAUCCAAAUGGAACAGUGAUUAAGGCUUCAAAUUAUGUAGUAUGUCCGGAAGGAAUCCCGAGCACUAGGUCUUCUGUUCAAGCCACGGACUCUCCCUCUAUCUCUACAAAUCAUUACAGUUCUCCAUCCUCACACCAGCACAUAGACUGGAAGAACUAUAAAACCUACAAAGAAUAUGUUGAUAACAGGCGCAUGCACAUGUAUGGCUCCCGAACGAUACAGGAAAGAUUAGAUAGUUUAAGAGCAGCUUCUCAGAAUACAACUGAUUAUAAUCAAGUGGUGCCAAAUCGCACUGCUUCACAGGUACGACGCAGGAGCACCUCUCAUGACAGGGUUCCACAAUCUGCACAGAUCCGGCAGCGAAGUGUAUCCCAGGAACGACUUGAAGAUCCUGUGUUGAUGAAAGAGUGGCCACGAAGUGCUUCACAAGAUACACUGACUUCACCUUCAAUUAGUUCUAGGAAUCACAGGGCUCGGUCAUGGGAUUAUCUCAGCAAACAGGGUGAAAUGCUAGAAAAUUUUCAUUCAGAGAAUCUGAUAGCAGACUCAAAUGGAGAUAGGAGAAAGGCUUACAAGUGGACAGGGUUUUCUGAACAAGAUGAUCGGCGAGGUAUUUAUGAGAGACCUAGACAGCAUGCAUUUCAUAUGUCCCUUCGAGGUCAAAAUUUUCCUUUGGCUCCAAGUGGUUAUAUUUCAGAUGGUAGGAGAGUAGGCAGUAGAGCUUCUCUGCCUGGUUCUCAUUUUCAGAAAGUUUCACCAGAUAUGAGAAUGUUGCAGCCUUCUCGAGACUUGCAAACUCCUGGGGGAAUUUCAAAACCUACGGCUGUUUCACAAGAAAGGACAUCUCUCACAACAGCCAGAAGUUCUAAAAGUAGCUCUUUGAAGAACUCCUCCUAUGCAGCAAAACCAUCAUUUCCCCUUAACCAGAGCUUGGAUGUUGUUGCCAGCAAAGACCAAAGAACUGUAAAUCAUUUGCAUCAGAGUAGCCUGUUAAACCAACAGUCAAGGACCCGAGGAGAAGAUGCUCCAGAUCACAGAACAGAAAUGGGCAAAACCAUGCAACCCUCCUCUUUGUCUCCAACCUCUGCCAAACUUGUUCAACAAGCAAGUGAGAGUUCAACUACCUCUGAUAAUACAGGUGUUUCCAUCAGAAAAAGAAGUCAUGAUUUUGAAAGAGAAAACACCCAUGAGCCUGAAAUUCUGCAAACAGAUGUUCAAGGAAAUGACAAAGAUGCAGUUGUCAUGCGGGACAAAUCACCUUCUGGCCACCAAACUCCACAGCCUUUGAGGCAUCAGUCCUACAUUCUUGCAGUCAAUGAUCAAGAGGCAGCCUCAGAUACCACCUGUUGGUUACCUAAUGAUGCUCGGAGGGAAGUCCACAUAAAACGGAUAGAAGAAAGGAAAGCAUCAGGUUCCACCCCACCUGGUGAUUCCUUGGCUUCUAUUCCAUUUAUUGAUGAACCGACUAGUCCUAGUAUUGACCAUGAUAUUGCACACAUUCCUGCUUCUGCUGUUAUUUCUGCAUCUGCUUCUCAAGCACCUGCUAUAACAACUGUUCCUCCCAGUCCUACAUCUCCAAUUCCUUUAAUUCGGCGACAGCUUUCUCAUGAUCAUGAAUCCAUUAGGCCCAGUGUCCUGGAUAGCCAGCCUGCCACAAAACCAGAGAGAUCAAAGUCAUAUGAUGAAGGACUGGAUGACUAUAGAGAUGAGGAAAAAUCGUCCAUUAAGCAUGUAUCUAGCUUAAAGGGGAUCAAGGUCACAGACAGUCAGAAAUCUUCCGAAGAUUCUGGUUCCCGAAAAGAUUCUUCUUCAGAGGUCUUUGGUGAUGCCUCCAAAGAAGGGUGGCUCCAUUUUCGUCAGCUUGUUACAGACAAAGGAAAGCGAGUUGGUGGGAGCAUUCGGCCAUGGAAACAAUUAUAUGUUGUUCUUCGAGGUCAUUCACUUUAUUUGUACAAGGAUAAAAAGGAGCAAAUGACCCCAUCAGAAGAAGAACAACCUAUAAGCAUCAAUGCUUGUUUGAUAGACAUCUCAUACUGCGAAACCAAGAGGAAAAAUGUAUUCAGACUCACCACAUCAGACUGCGAGUAUCUGUUUCAAGCUGAGGACAGAGAUAAUAUGUUAGCAUGGAUUAAAGCAAUACAAGAAAACAGCAACUUAAAUGAUGAGGACACUGGUGUCACUAGUAGAGACCUAAUUAGCCGAAGGAUUAAAGAAUACAGUACAAUGAUGAGUUCUUCAAGCAGCAAAACAGAGCCAUCUCCCAAAACACCUCGUCAGAGCCUAAGUAUCAGGCAGACUCUGCUUGGAACUAAAGCAGAUCAGAGGACCCAGAGUCCACAUUCUCCCAAGGAUGAAUCGGAGAGGAAGCUUCUCACUAAAGAUGAGACAAGCCCACCUAAAGACAAGGGGACAUGGAGGAAAGGCAUUCCAAGCAUUAUGAGGAAGACUUUUGAAAAGAAGCCAUCUGCAGUAGGAACAUUUGGUGUCAGACUAGAUGACUGCCCCCCAGCACAUACCAACAAAUAUAUCCCAUUGAUUGUUGAUAUAUGCUGCAAACUAGUUGAAGAAAGAGGUCUUGAGUACACAGGUAUUUACAGAGUUCCUGGAAAUAAUGCUGCCAUCUCCAGUAUGCAAGAGGAGCUCAACAAAGGAAUGACUGACAUAGAUGUUCAUGAUGAUAAAUGGCGAGACUUGAAUGUCAUAAGCAGUUUGCUGAAAUCUUUCUUCAGAAAGCUCCCAGAACCCCUUUUCACCAAUGACAAAUAUGCAGAUUUUAUAGAUGCCAAUAGAAAAGAAGAUCCAGUUGAACGUUUGAAAACGCUGAAGAGACUGAUUCAUGAUUUACCUGAGCAUCAUUAUGAGACACUCAAAUUUCUUUCUGCGCAUCUCAAGACAGUAGCAGAGAACUCUGAAAAGAACAAGAUGGAACCAAGAAACCUGGCAAUAGUGUUUGGUCCAACGCUUGUGAGGACAUCCGAUGAUAACAUGACACACAUGGUUACCCACAUGCCAGACCAGUAUAAAAUUGUAGAAACACUCAUCCAAAAACAUGACUGGUUUUUCACAGAAGAUGAUGCUGAAGAACCCCUUACAGCAGUACAGGAGGAAAACACUGUAGAAUCUCAGCCAGUGCCAAACAUAGAUCAUUUACUCACCAACAUUGGAAGAACGGGAGUGUCUCCUGGAGACGUAUCAGAUUCAGCUACUAGUGACUCAACAAAAUCUAAGGGUUCUUGGGGUUCUGGAAAGGAUCAGUAUAGCAAGGAACUGCUUGUGUCCUCCAUUUUUGCAGCAGCUAGUCGCAAGCGGAAAAAAACAAAAGAGAAACCGCAACCGAGUAGCUCAGAAGAUGAGUUGGAUAAUGUGUUUUCCAAGAAGGAGCUUGCAGAACAAUCUCGGGGUGACGCAGCAAAAGAGGACACAGCUAAAGGGGAAUAUGAAAAAGAAAGAGAUGCAGGGAGAAAACAGAGGAUGUUUGUCCUGAAGGAAAAAGAGAACAGCAGUAAAAAAGAUGUGAAUGUUGUAAAGGAUGAAAAGAAGUCGUUAAGGAAAGAGAGCGUCCUGUCAGAGGAACCUUCACUGCCUUACCAUGAAAAACGUACAAAAUCACAAAGUCUCAGUUGUCAGCAAACUGCGCAGAAGGAUAACCCUAAAAUGCCCAUUUCCCAGUCUUCUUCCCAGGUUGAAGAGACGGUGUCUGACUCUGGCACUAUGCUUAGCACUUCCUCUCAGGCUUCCCAGCACAGAUAUUCGUGCAAAAAGGUAGCCAGCCCUGAAAUUAAACACAGUGAGUUUUUAGCAGCUGAUGUCAGUUCCAUCACCUCAGAUUAUUCAACAACUUCAUCCUCUAUAUAUAUAACUGGCUUAGACGCCAGUAUGCUGAGCCCUGAAGUGCAGUCAGUAACAGAAAGCAAGGGAGAAGAUGCUGAUGAUGAAAGAAGUGAGCUGAUCAGCGAAGGGCGUCCUAUGGAGACAGACAGCGAGAGUGACUUCCCUGUCUUUGCCACCAGCUCUGCUGCUGAAAGGCUGUCCAAGGGGAAAGUUUCUGAAGUGUUUAAGAGCAGUCGGAGGAACUCUGAGGAAAGCGAAGUAAGUUGUACUGAGGGAAGUUCAACACCAAAGUUAGAGAGUCGCAGACUUUUUAGCUCACACAAACUUAUUGAAUGCGAUACGCUGUCCAGGAGAAAGUCUGCACGGCACAAAACGGACAGUGAGGGUUCUGGGGAUGCGAAGAGUGAGAAGGACUUACCUACUGUGACCAAAAUGUUUGAUAUAAUGAAAAAAGGAAGAUCGACAAGCAGUUUAGCUACGUCAGCCAGAAGUGAGACUGACAAACAAGAACCUACCUGGAGACUAAAAAUUACAGAUAGGUUAAAGCUGCGGCUCAAAUCAUCUGCAGAUGACAUGUUCGGAGUUGGGAAUCAAAAGGCUAACUCUGCCGAGACGGUGAAGAGGAAAAAUAUCAGGCGAAGGCAUACGCUUGGAGGACAGAGGGAUUUUGAUGAAAUAAGUGUCCUGAAUGUUUGGAAAGUUCAAGAGCCGAGUCAUAGUAGAGAGAGAGAAUCUGAGCUUUCAGCUGUGAAUCGUCUGAAGCCAAAAUGUCCAGCCCAGGACCUCUCAAUCUCAGACUGGCUUGCACGAGAACGUUUACGCACUAGCACAACUGACCUUAAUACGGGUGAAACUGGAAAGCCCAGACUUGAGAACACUAGCUUAGCAGAUGCAUCAAAGGUAGAUCUGCCUCUAUCUGCUGAGAUGCAAGCAGAUGAAGGCAGUUCCUCCAGCAGCUUGACUUCAAUCAGUAGAACACCACCUUCGGGACCAUUUCAGCCACCAGACCAGACUUAAAAUGCCCGUUCCUUUAGCACAAGCAGGCGAAUGGUACAGUAGCAGCAUUUGCAUGACUUGUAGGCUGAAGCAGGGAGGCUAACGUGGUUUCCACCAGACAAUGAGUUUAUUCCAAGACGACUGUGGCGACCCAGACGGAGGGACUGCUCAAAAAUGUGGCUGUUCAGGUCUCUGGCUGCUGGGACUGCUUGAGCCUGCUGCUACCUGGGGAAGGUGGCAGGGAUUCCACCUGCCUGAGGUGUGAGCAGGUGGGUGAAUUGAUCCAGCUGGUGGUUGAGCUCAAGGAAGAGGUCCCAGAGACUUAGGACUAUCAGGGAAUGUGAGAGGGAGACAGACUGGUGGAGUGACUCGCUGGCAUGUCAGAGGAAAGGGUGCCAGGGAGACACCCUCACAAAAGUGGUGGACCCCCAGCCCUGUCAGAGUAGGACAGACCUGACUGAUGAGGAGGGUUGGAUGAGAGUCCCUACUUGAUGUCAUGGGAACACCCCCCGCCUGCCUGCCCCGCUUCCCCAGAUCCCCCUUAGCAACAGGUUUCACAUGCUGGAAAUUGAAGGUGAGGUGAGUGAUGAGGUGAUGGAGGAGUUGCUGAGUAGGGAGAGGCAGCCACCCCAAGACUGCCUGUGUCAGGAAAGAAAGAAGGGUGGUCAUGGUGGGUGACUCCCUUCUCAGAGGAACGGAGGGCCCCAUAUACAGACCAGACCCAAGCCGCCGAGAAGUGUGCUGCCUUCCUGGGGCCCAGGUCAGGGACAUAACCAGGAAAAUACCAGGAAAAUACCAAAACUGGUGAGGCUCACUGGUUACUUUCCGUUGCUCAUAGUUCUGGUGGGCAGUGAGGAAAUUGCUCAGACAAGCCCACGGACAAUGAAAAGGGAUUUCAGGGGUUUAGGGUGCUUAGUUCAAGGUGCGGGAGCACAAAUAAUCUGUAUUCUCAGGGGCAGUGUGGGACUCGGAAUGGGCAUGGAAGGUGCAAACAAUGAAUAACUGGCUCAGAGGCUGGGGCCGAGCCAGAAACUUUGGGUUCUUUGACCAUGGGGUAGUUUACUUGGCCCCUCGCUUGCUGUCCAACCAUGGAAUCCACCUAUCUCAAAGGGGGCAACAAAUCUUAGCUCAGGAGCUAGUGGGGCUCAUCGAUAGAGCUUUAAACUAAUUAUGAUGGGAGAAGGGGACAGUACAGGCCUCACAGGAGAAGAGCCUAGGGGAAUGAUAUUUGAGCUCGGAGUGAGGCAAAUGACUCAGCUGAAGUGCAUCUUCCAAUGCACGCAGCAUGAGCAACAAGCAGGAGGAAUUGGAAGCGAUUGUGCAUCAGGCUAACUAUGAUUUAGCUGCUAUUACUGAAACAUGGUGGGACCGCUCCCCUGACUGGAGUGCUGUGAUGGAUGGCUACAAGCUUUUCAGAAGGGAUAGACAAGGAGGGAAGGGUGGUGGUGUGGCCCUUUAUGUUAAGACUGUUUUGAUGUUGAAGAGCUUGAGGUUGCAAAUGAUAACAUGGAGUGUCUAUGGGUGAGGAUCAGGGGGAAGGCCUGUAGGGGAGACAUCUUGGUUGGGGUCUGUUAUAGACUGCUGAAUCAGGAUGAGGAGAUGGACAAGGCGUACUACAAGCAGCUUGCGGAAGUCGUGCGAUCGCCAGCACUCAUUCUCGUGGGGGAUUUCAACUUCCCUGAUAUAUGUUGGAAAUAUAAUAUGGCUCAAAGAAGCAGUCCAAGAGGUUUCUAGAGUGUGUGGAAGAUAGCUUCCUUACACAGCUGGUACAAGAGCCUACCAGGGCUAGACCUGCUCUUUGCUAAUGGAGAGGGACUGGUGGGUGAUGCAAAGGUUGGGGACUGUCUAGGGCAGAGCAGCCAUGAAAUUGUAGAAUUCUCUAUUUUUGGAGAUGUCAAAAAGGUGACUACCAAAACUGCUAUCUUGAACUUACUUCAAGAGG
RNA transcript from Phasianus colchicus (ring-necked pheasant), 8259 nucleotides. It is a transcript of the gene named Rho GTPase activating protein 21, with no coding region annotated. The record is from RefSeq and is a predicted model, not a curated record. Lineage: Eukaryota; Metazoa; Chordata; Aves; Galliformes; Phasianidae.